UGUCGUGAUGAUGGCACUGAGGUCACACCUGUUCCCAUACCGAACACAGUAGUUAAGCUCAGUAGCGCCAAAAGUAGUUGGAGGAUCGCCUCCU
RNAcentral lists this ribosomal RNA (94 nucleotides) under Weissella paramesenteroides. Lineage: Bacteria; Bacillati; Bacillota; Bacilli; Lactobacillales; Lactobacillaceae. The record is from RNAcentral.